CCUACGGGUGGCAGCAGUGAGGAAUAUUGGUCAAUGGGCGCGAGCCUGAACCAGCCAAGUAGCGUGAAGGAUGACUGCCCUACGGGUUGUAAACUUCUUUUAUAAAGGAAUAAAGUGAGGCACGUGUACCGUUUUGGAUGUACUUUAUGAAUAAGGAUCGGCUAACUCCGUGCCAGCAGCCGCGGUAAGACGGAGGAUCCGGGCGUUAUCCGGAUUUAUUGGGUUUAAAGGGAGCGUAGCUGGGUUGUUAAGGCAGUUGUGAAAGUUUGCGGCUCAACCGUAAACUUGCAAUUGAUACUGGCAGCCUUGAUUCCAGUUGUGGUAGGCGUAAUUCGUGUUGUAGCGGUGAAAUGCUUAGAUCUCACUA
This 367-nucleotide ribosomal RNA is filed under the name uncultured bacterium. Its description in RNAcentral is "partial 16S ribosomal RNA". It matches the Rfam family "Bacterial small subunit ribosomal RNA", at positions 338 to 702 of the family's 1533-position model. The record is from RNAcentral.